This 2497-nucleotide ribosomal RNA is filed under the name Topsentia ophiraphidites. Its description in RNAcentral is "LSU rRNA". It matches the Rfam family "Bacterial large subunit ribosomal RNA". The record is from RNAcentral. Lineage: Eukaryota; Metazoa; Porifera; Demospongiae; Suberitida; Halichondriidae.
UGAUUAGUAUAAAUUUGUGGCAAAGGAUGACUAGGAUGUUAUAAUCCAAAUUGAGCUUUCAAUCCCUGGAAUGGGGCGCUAAAGCGAAAAUCGGCAAAGAGAGAAGAUGAGGCCGAGUUCCCUAAGAACUAUGAAUUGAAACAUCUUAGUAUUAGGUUAAAAAUCAAGCGAGAUUCCGUAAGUAGUGGCGAGCGAAAGCGGAUAAGAGAGUAUUGAAAUCAAAGAGGGUAACAGUCCCGUAGAUACCUGUAUUAGGAGGACAAGAGUAGAAUUAUUUGAAGAAUGGUGUACCAUACAUCUAAUCCUAAAUAUUGUAACAUACCGAUAGUAAACAAGUACUGUGAAGGAAAGUUGAAAGAGAUGAUAGUGAAAAGAUCCUGAAAUUGCUACUUAUAAGCAGACAGAGUUGUUGUACCUUUUGCAUAAUGGGUUCGCAAGAGAAAUAUUUGGCAAACUUAAGUAGAAACGUAGGUGUAGUGAAAAUGAGUUUUAAUCGAGCGCUUAGUCAAAUAGAACCCGAAACCAAGUGAUCUAACCAUGGGCAGUUUGAAGCCUGCCCAAUAGCAGGUGGAGGAGCGAACCGGUGAUUGUGGCAAAAAUCUCGGAUGAUCUGUGGUUAGGGGUAAAAAGCCAAUCGAACUUGGAAAUAGCUGGUUUUCUGCGAAAACUAUUGAAGUAGUGCGUCAUAAGGGGCUCCUGUGGGCAAUAUCGUUCAUUGGCCUCGAUAUUCUUACAUAGUAAAGCACUGAAUGGAGUACCGCACAUAGUGAAGGUAAUUCAACCAAACUAUGAAAGUGUAAGAAGAAAGUAUGAUAGACAGACAGUGGGCGAGAAGGUCUAUUGUCAAAAAGGAAACAACCUAGAUCAGAAGUUAAGGUCAUUAAUAAUAAUACAUCUUAGUGUUUAAGGGGUUUAAAAUUUAAGACAAUGAGAAAGUAGGCUUGGAGCCAGCCAUCUUUGAAAGAUUACGUAACAGUUCACUCAAUAAAUAUUUUAAUCCCAAAAAUUCUGGUGGCUAAGUUAUCAACCGAAACUCUGAAUAAAAUAUGGUAGCAGAACGUGCUGUAUUAAGCGAGCGAAAGCUUUCUCAGAAGUGAUAAUGCGAACAUGAGUAAAAAACAGUGUGAAAAUCACUGCUCACGGCCCAAGGCUUCCAAUUAUAGGAUUAUCCGAAUUGGGUUAUACAGCCCCUAAGGGUAUAAGAAAUUAACAUAUAAAACUAUCUUAAUGGGUAUAAAUAAUGCGUGUUUUAGGCACUAAAAUAUAUAUUUUGUAAUACUGUACUAAAACUAACACAAGUGGGCUUUAAAGUGAUGGUAUAAUUUAUCUUAAGGAACUCGGCAAAAUGUCCCUGUAAGUUCGCAAGAAGGGGAGCUAGAAAAGAGUAGGAUGGGGUUUAUCCUGUCAAUUAUUUUUCUGGUCGCAGAAAAGAGGGGGUGUCGACUGUUUACCAAAAACAUAGCUUCCAACUAAGGCCAAGGGCCUGAAGUAUUGGAGGUGAGGCCUGCCCAAUGGUUGUAUCUAAACCCAAGUAAUAAAUAAGUUAUUUGGUAAAAGACAAUUUAAUGGCCGCGGUAAAUCUGACCGUGAUAAUGUAGCGCAAUCAAUAGCCAAAUAAUUGUUGGCAAGUAUGAAUGGCUUAACGAAUGCUCCGCUGUCUCAAGAUAAAUACCAAUGAAAUUGAAAUCGUAGUGAAGAUGCUACGUACAAGUUGUUAGACGAGAAGACCCCAUUGAGCUUUACUGGAGGCUUAUACAGUUCUUUACAUUAAGUGUGUAUUAUGUGGGUAACAACAAUUUGUUGUUUAUGAAAAACCACUCUUUAAUCUAAGAGAACUAAUAAAUUUUUAUUGAAUUUGGAAAAUAUAAGUUAGACAGUUUGGUUGGGGCGACCGCCUUCUAAAGAGUAACGAAGGUGCACAUAAGGUAAAUAAUAGUGUAUAAAAGCCUGACAGCAAGGAGGACUUCCGAGCUGACACGACCAAUUCAUUGUUUGAAUUGGCCCAUAGCGGGCUAUCGUGGGUUAUAAUGACCCGUUAGUUUAUAGUGGAAUAGCUAACGAUCAACGAAUAAAAGUUACCAUGGGGAUAACAGCGUAAUACCGUUCGAGAGUUCAUAUCGACGACGAUGUUUGCGACCUCGAUGUUGAAUUGCGGUAUCCUGGAGGUGCAGCCGCUUCCAAGGGUUGGACUGUUCGUCCAUUAAAACCGUACAUGAUUUGAGUUCAGACCGGCGUGAGCCAGGUCGGUUUCUAUCUACAACUUGCGCAGAAACAUAGAUAUAACUACAUUCUAGUACGAAAGGAUCGAAUGGUGGUUAUCCGCUGGUGAACCAAUUAUAGUCAUUAUUGUUGGGUAGCUACGAUAAAGUUAAUAAUCACUGAAUGCAUCUAAGUGAGAAGUAAUAUAUUAAUGUUUCAAGAUGAGACCGUUUUAGAUUAAAACGUCGAUAGGGUCUAGGUAUCGCUUAAGACUACUAAGCUCUUUUUACUAAUCAUC